GCCCAUUACAAGCGGGAAAUUUUAUUAUGGGAUAACAGCACAUAAAGCACAUCUAAAAUCGAUGUGUCCAAUGCACUUUUAAUAAAGGUAAUAUUAAAGGUACAGUUUCUAAGUACAAUAUAACAACAUUCAUAUUAGAAUGGAAAGUAUUUCAAAGACAACAUUGCAUUUCUUAUUUUUCUUUACACCUGUAUGUACAAAAUGAAUCAAAAUACUUAUUUCCAUAUUUAAGAAUCAGACAAGAAGGAGCAAAACUACUUUUGUGAAUAGACUACCUGCUAAAGAGAGCUCAAAAGAGCUGGAUAAAAAGGUACAUGAUCAUCUGUUCCCAUCGUAAGUAGCAAACAUGUGACUUAAAAAUUUGUGACAACCACAUACCGGUUUCUGCUUUCUACAGUUCAUACUGCUUUCACAAGGAGAAAUAUCCCACCCACACUCGACCCAUCAUAAAGUUACCCCAACCCCUUGAGCUUACAUUAAACACAGAACAUUAAAGAAAUUCAGAUGUGUUGUAUGCAUCUUUUGCAUACACAUAUGAAUAUUUGAAAUACAAUGCAUUAGUCAAUUAUCUGUUCUCAAUAAAGAAAUCAUUUUAUGAUCACAAAACAAAGUGAAAAACAUCAACGUGGAUUGUCCAUUCUUUUGUCAAAUCCAGAACCUGGAUCAGCAGGUCAUCUUUUAUGCAAUAUUGUCAGCCAGAAUGUACUUCAUCGAUUUGACCAUUUUACAUUACCACAUCCUUCCCAGUUAUGCUACUCAGACGAGAGGGAGAAAUAUAUUUAUAUCAUCUGAAUAUCUAACAUGGUGCCUUAAAUAAACAAGAAAAUGUGUACUUUAUAAAGACAGAAUAUAAGAAAUGUAGUAAACCAUUAGGUGACAGAGUUAACCUACGUGCAAAUACAUUGUCAGCUGAGUACAUGUUCGGAAAACAAAAACAAUAACAUUGAAUACCAUUUAUGCAUCCUGUAACACUGAGAGGCACUCAGUGUAGUACAUUGUGUAUUAUUGCAAGCACAUUCUGGCUGAUAUUUGCUACUGAGUGAAAAGGAAAAAAAAGGUUACAAAAAAUAUCUAACCUCUAACGGUGAUCUUUUUCAUGUCCAUUUUUUCUAAUAACACAUAUGGUGGUGCCAAAGGUCUAAACUGGUCUAAAAGAAAACACUGUUUCAGGGCAGACUAACUUUUAAAUAAGGAAGCCAUAAAAUGGCUGUUUUAAAUGGACAAUAGCACAGUAAAGUACUACACAGCUUGAAGAGGUAAAUACUCCGCAUUUGCAAAUAUGACCAGCUACAAGCCUCAGCAAGUGGUUUUUUACAAUCAGAACAAAGAAAAACAAUACUGCUGUUUUAGACUCUUUUUUUUCAGAAAUCAGAAGAGCAACCCUUAAAUAACCUGUUCAUUAGUAGAUACUGGUUUUGAUAAUAAUUUAAGUGAGAAGGAAAUAAGAGCCUUACCCCAGGACUAGCACACUGAUACAGAAGUUACAAAGUUACCUUUAUACAUGUGAUCAAUAAUAACAUUAAAUAUUGUGGAUUAAAAGUUGAGGAUGAGGGAGAGAGAGAGAAAUGAAGAUAUAUAGUUUACAGGUCAUGAGGUUUUAUCCUCCACCUGGGAACAGAACCAAUCAAAUAUACUGACUAAACAAUAUAACAACCAAAACCAAAUAACACAAAUUAAAACAAAAACAAAAGGGAUAAAUAAGAAGUGUAUUUACAUGCAGAUGUCCAAAGCCUAUGCACAAAAUUAAAAUAAUGCACCACAUAUUAUUGCUUGACAUUCGAUUAUGGCUAGAGGUUUUUUUUUCUCAAUUUUCCAUUUUUACUAUAUUCUAAAAUGUUUUUUUUAAAAUCUUUUUUUCAUCUUAAAACUGUAUUCGCUGUGCUUUGGAAAAUGAGAGUAUUGUUAAAAUGCAAUUCAACUGACUGAUAGAUCUGGGUAACUCUUCAAUACAGCACAGUUGUAAGCAUGACAUCACACAUACCUUUACAAUCUAUAUUCUAUGGCAAAUAAAUAUGAGUCCCAUGAUUCCUAGGCAGUCAAAUCAUCUCAAGAUAACAUGUAUGACAUGCAGGAUGGUGUGUCAACUUGUCUCUUUUUCUACCAAUUACUCUGCACUGAACACGUCAUGAGACUGAGUAGUUAGUCAUUUGCUCCAGUGCGCUUUGAAGGACUAUAAAUUGUAAAGAGGUAUUAUGUCAUGUUUAUAACACUUAAACCCUAUACGGGAUGGAACAAAUCUCUGUGUUACCGAAUCCAGGGAAAGACCUACCAGACUCCUCAUUCACAUAACCCUUUCCCUCUUAGUUUAUUAAAGCCUUGUCUGGGAUUUAUCUUAUGCACACAGUGAGUACACAAACACACACACGCACACUAUUGCUUGUUUACACGAGUGACACAGAGACAGAAGGACCAUAAGGUGUUAUUCACAUUGAUAUACUAGCAGACUCAGCAGCAAUCCUUUGCUACAUAUGUCUAAAAUGAAAGCAUGCAGGAUGAUGUAUCCCUCCACGCAAUGUGGGUGCAGAGAUGUUUGUUGAAACUGACAGACACAAUGCCUCUGAUAAUUUCCCAUUGUCAAAUCAAUAUUGCUAUCAAACUGUACACAA
Oncorhynchus tshawytscha (Chinook salmon) is the source of this 2606-nucleotide long non-coding RNA. NCBI's taxonomy places the organism in Eukaryota, Metazoa, Chordata, Actinopteri, Salmoniformes, Salmonidae. The record is from Ensembl.